AAACCCAGUGCAAUUCGUUGCACUAUCGUUAACUGAAUACAUAGGUUAACGAGGCGAACCGGGGGAACUGAAACAUCUAAGUACCCCGAGGAAAAGAAACCAACCGAGAUUCCCCCAGUAGCGGCGAGCGAACGGGGAGCAGCCCAGAGUCUGAAUCAGCUUGUGUGUUAGUGGAACGGUCUGGAAAGUCCGACGGUACAGGGUGAUAGUCCCGUACACCAAAUGCACAGGCUGUGAACUCGAAGAGUAGGGCGGGACACGUGGUAUCCUGUCUGAAUAUGGGGGACCAUCCUCCAAGGCUAAAUACUCCUGACUGACCGAUAGUGAACCAGUACCGUGAGGGAAAGGCGAAAAGAACCCCGGCGAGGGGAGUGAAAAAGAACCUGAAACCGUGUACGUACAAGCAGUGGGAGCACCUUCGGGUGUGACUGCGUACCUUUUGUAUAAUGGGUCAGCG
Molecule: ribosomal RNA, 457 nt
Filed under: Klebsiella pneumoniae
Lineage: Bacteria; Pseudomonadati; Pseudomonadota; Gammaproteobacteria; Enterobacterales; Enterobacteriaceae
Description: bacterial LSU rRNA
Rfam family: Bacterial large subunit ribosomal RNA
Source: RNAcentral